Oreochromis niloticus (Nile tilapia) is the source of this 192-nucleotide long non-coding RNA. RefSeq lists it as uncharacterized. The record is from RefSeq and is a predicted model, not a curated record. Lineage: Eukaryota; Metazoa; Chordata; Actinopteri; Cichliformes; Cichlidae. The transcript has 3 exons.
AACAGUCAGCUCACAAAGUUGCAGGUGAAGGUGCUGCCCACCCAUGAUGCCAGCAAGGUGCGUGCAAGUGGAUCCGGCCUUAAAACCACUGGAGUGCCCAGCUCUCUGCCAGUGAAGUUCAACAUUGAUGGCAAAGAUGCAGGACCCAGACGGAAGCCCAAGAAGCAAAUAUCUGUGACAACCAUGAUGGGA